UUGUAGUUCAGUGGUAGAGAGUCUGUCUUGCAUUAGAAGGUCCCUGGUUCAAGCCCAGGGAGAGCAG
Molecule: non-coding RNA, 67 nt
Organism: Podarcis lilfordi (Lilford's wall lizard)
Lineage: Eukaryota; Metazoa; Chordata; Lepidosauria; Squamata; Lacertidae
Source: the annotation of a GenBank genome assembly